AACGCGUGAGGAACCUGCCUUUCAGUGGGGGACAACAGNUGNAAACGACUGCUAAUACCGCAUGACACUUUUGAGGGACAUCCCUUAAAAGUCAAAGCUUUAUGUGCUGAAAGAUGGCCUCGCGUCUGAUUAGCUAGUUGGUGAGGUAACGGCUCACCAAGGCGACGAUCAGUAGCCGGUCUGAGAGGAUGAACGGCCACAUUGGGACUGAGAUACGGCCCAGACUCCUACGGGAGGCAGCAGUGGGGAAUAUUGGGCAAUGGGGGAAACCCUGACCCAGCAACGCCGCGUGAAGGAAGAAGGCCUUCGGGUUGUAAACUUCUUUUACCAGGGACGAAGGACGUGACGGUACCUGGAGAAAAAGCAACGGCUAACUACGUGCCAGCAGCCGCGGUAAUACGUAGGUUGCAAGCGUUGUCCGGAUUUACUGGGUGUAAAGGGCGUGUAGGCGGAGAUGCAAGUUGGGAGUGAAAUCCAUGGGCUCAACCCAUGAACUGCUCUCAAAACUGUAUCCCUUGAGUAUCGGAGAGGCAAGCGGAAUUCCUAGUGUAGCGGUGAAAUGCGUAGAUAUUAGGAGGAACACCAGUGGCGAAGGCGGCUUGCUGGACGACAACUGACGCUGAGGCGCGAAAGCGUGGGGAGCAAACAGGAUUAGAUACCCUGGUAGUCCACGCUGUAAACGAUGAAUACUAGGUGU
RNAcentral lists this ribosomal RNA (697 nucleotides) under uncultured bacterium. RNAcentral's name for it is "bacterial SSU rRNA". It matches the Rfam family "Bacterial small subunit ribosomal RNA", at positions 112 to 823 of the family's 1533-position model. The record is from RNAcentral.